ACUCCUACGGGAGGCAGCAGUGGGGAAUAUUGCACAAUGGGCGCAAGCCUGAUGCAGCCAUGCCGCGUGUAUGAAGAAGGCCUUCGGGUUGUAAAGUACUUUCAGCAGUGAGGAAGGUGGGUAUGUUAAUAGCAUAUUCAUUUGACGUUAGCUGCAGAAGAAGCACCGGCUAACUCCGUGCCAGCAGCCGCGGUAAUACGGAGGGUGCGAGCGUUAAUCGGAAUUACUGGGCGUAAAGCGCAUGCAGGUGGUUUGUUAAGUCAGAUGUGAAAGCCCGGGGCUCAACCUCGGAAUUGCAUUUGAAACUGGCAAACUAGAGUACUGUAGAGGGGGUAGAAUUUCAGGUGUAGCGGUGAAAUGCGUAGAGAUCUGAAGGAAUACCGGUGGCGAAGGCGGCCCCCUGGACAGAUACUGACACUCAGAUGCGAAAGCGUGGGGAGCAAACAGGAUUAGAU
Molecule: ribosomal RNA, 455 nt
Filed under: uncultured bacterium
Lineage: Bacteria
Description: bacterial SSU rRNA
Rfam family: Bacterial small subunit ribosomal RNA
Source: RNAcentral